Pongo pygmaeus (Bornean orangutan) is the source of this 1633-nucleotide long non-coding RNA. RefSeq lists it as uncharacterized. The transcript is spliced from 2 exons. The record is from RefSeq and is a predicted model, not a curated record. Lineage: Eukaryota; Metazoa; Chordata; Mammalia; Primates; Hominidae.
CCUAAGGGAACCAAAAAGCAUUCGCGGAUGUCACAUGGCCUUCCUGAUUGUUUAGAGGUAAAUAUGACUAAGUUAAGCAUUUACAGAGUAUUAUGUGUUUGGAGUGGGGAACCAAAUAGGCCAGUGGCUGGGAAGUGGGGGCAGGGGAUGAAAAGAGAGUGGUUAAUGUGUACAAAAAUAGAAUUAGAUAGAAGGAAUAAGUUUAGUGUUGGACAGCACAGUAGGGUGACUAUGGUUAACACUGAUGUACUGUACAUUUCAAAAUAGCUGGAAGAUUUGAAAUGUUCCCAACACAAAGAAUAAAUGUUCAAGGGGAAGGAUAUUCUCAUUACCCCAAUUGGAUCAUUGGACAUUGUAUGCAUGUAUCAAAAUAUCAUAGAUACCCCAUAAGUAGGCAUAAUUAUGUAUCAAUUUAGAAAAAGACAAAUAGUCCUUCCUUCUCAGAAGCUCACAGGAGCUAGAGAGAAGUGAGUUGAGAGAGGCACUGGAAAUGACUAGAAAACCAACUCCUAGAGUAGUUAAAUGACUCUAAUGGGGUACAAACAGCCCUCAAACAGACCAGCUCCAUAAGAACUAGUUUCAGAUUCAAGGGAGAUAAGGUGACAUUAACUCUUAAAUUUUCUUUUCUUUUUUUUUUUUUUGCGACAGGGUUUCAUUCCCAUCGCCCAGGCUGGAGUGCAGUGGUGUACUCUCAGCUCACUACAACCUCUGCCUCCUGGGUUCAAGCAAUCCCCCUGCCUCAGCCUCCUGAGUAACUGUUACUACAGAGAUGGGGUUUCGCCGUGUUGCCCACGCUGGUCUCAAACUCCUGAGCUCAAGCAAUCUGCAAGCCUCAGCCUCCCAAAGUGCUGGGAUGACAGCCAUGAGCCUCCAUGCCCAGGUGAGACCCUAACAUUUUCAUGAACAUGAUCUCGUUUAACCAUCAACAAAGUUCUUAGGAGGCAGCACAGACAGUAUUAAUCUUAUUUCCCAAUGCUGGUAAAGGACUUGAACAGAUAAUGGAAGAUGGGCAUGCUAAAUAAGCAAAUUAAAAGUCUGACUACACUAAUGGUCUAAAGAUUAUCUUUGAAGAAACCUUGGCCUUGAGUGUGACCCCUCUCCAGGGACCACCACUCCACUGAGACCCAAACUUCCCCUUCCCUGCUGUAUCCCCCUCCGUGUGAAGGAAAAAUAAAAGAAAAAAAAGUUUUAGGCUGGGAGCGGUGCCUCAUGCCAGCACUUUGGGAGGCCGAGGCAGGCAGAUCACGAGGUCAAGAGAUGGAGACCAUCCUGGCCAACAUGGUGAAACCCUGUCUCUACUAAAAAAUACAAAAAUUAGCUGGGUGUGGUGGCACGCGCCUGUAGUCUCAGCUACUCAGGAGGCUGAGGCAGGAGAAUCGCUUGAACCCGGGAGGCAAAGGUUGCAGUGAGCUGAGAUGGCACAACUGCACUCCAGCCUGGCGACAGAGUGAGACUCCAUCUCAAAAAAAAAAGUUUUAUAACGUGGGUUUUGGGGAACAGGGUGGAUUAACCACGUCAUAUCUCAGUUUUAGUCUUUGCUGCUAUAUUUCAUAGACAUGUUUUUACUUUUGAUCUGUAUGAAUCUUUGUAAUAAUCUGGCCAUGUUGCAAUAAAGCCACACCUGAGAAGGUCA